UUUUAUGGAGAGUUUGAUCCUGGCUCAGAGUGAACGCUGGCGGCGUGCCUAAUACAUGCAAGUCGAACGAUGAAGCUUCUAGCUUGCUAGAAUGCUGAUUAGUGGCGCACGGGUGAGUAACGCAUAGGUCAUGUGCCUCUUAGUUUGGGAUAGCCAUUGGAAACGAUGAUUAAUACCAGAUACUCCCUACGGGGGAAAGAUUUAUCGCUAAGAGAUCAGCCUAUGUCCUAUCAGCUUGUUGGUAAGGUAAUGGCUUACCAAGGCUAUGACGGGUAUCCGGCCUGAGAGGGUGAACGGACACACUGGAACUGAGACACGGUCCAGACUCCUACGGGAGGCAGCAGUAGGGAAUAUUGCUCAAUGGGGGAAACCCUGAAGCAGCAACGCCGCGUGGAGGAUGAAGGUUUUAGGAUUGUAAACUCCUUUUGUUAGAGAAGAU
This 439-nucleotide ribosomal RNA is filed under the name Helicobacter pylori. RNAcentral describes it as "bacterial SSU rRNA". It matches the Rfam family "Bacterial small subunit ribosomal RNA", at positions 1 to 449 of the family's 1533-position model. The record is from RNAcentral. Lineage: Bacteria; Pseudomonadati; Campylobacterota; Epsilonproteobacteria; Campylobacterales; Helicobacteraceae.